ACCCUCUCAGCUCUGCUCAGUGGCGCACAAUGCCAGUGGCGCUGCUGUCGUUUUCCGAGAGGGACAGUAAUGGAGUCCCUAAAUGCACGGCAGCGGGACCUGACUCAGUGGUCUCCCUGUUCCUUCCCGGACUCAACAAGC
This is a small nucleolar RNA of Anolis carolinensis (green anole), 141 nucleotides long. NCBI's taxonomy places the organism in Eukaryota, Metazoa, Chordata, Lepidosauria, Squamata, Anolidae. The record is from Ensembl.